GUAACACUAAUUACUUAACAAGAAAGUAUUAUUCAUAUUCCAAUUUCAUCUAUGAGGUGGCUGAGACAUAGGUAAAGUCCACGGUCCCAUGGUGGACAAAUACAGAGUGGGAUUCCUGAGUGGGCAGUCCAGAGCCCAAGCCCUUAACUUCUGUGCCAUUCUAUCCCACAUCCCUGCAUUUCUAGGUUGGGGGCCUGAGGCUGUUGCUUUUGGUUGAUGACUCAUCAUAUGCUGAAGAGGUAAAAUGUCAAGGCUCCCCAAGCUGCUCAGUGGGUUAGAGGCUGUCUUAAAACAUUAACAUGUGCACAGUGCAGUGAUGGGCAUAUCAUCCUCCCUCCCCACACUUAUACUCCUCAAUGGAACUACAGGAAGUUCUUCACAUCAAGAUCUCUAUCCCACACGUUCAGUCUCAACUCUGCCCUUCCAGGACACUUGAGAAGGGCCAGAGUUAUACAGGAAGAUAUACAGGUGGCUGGUAUCCGGUCUGAGAUUGUGCACAAGAGAGGGAUCCCAGCUUCCUGAUACUUCUACCACAGAGUGUUUCUGCUCUCAGGUUAACUAAGGAAGUUCCUUAUUUAAAGGUAUACUUGGGGGAUCCCUGGGUGGCGCAGCGGUUUGGCACCUGCCUUUGGCCCAGGGCGCGAUCCUGGAGACCCGGGAUCGAAUCCCACGUCGGGCUCCCGGUGCAUGGAGCCUGCUUCUCCCUCUGCCUGUG
Molecule: long non-coding RNA, 715 nt
Filed under: Vulpes vulpes (red fox)
Lineage: Eukaryota; Metazoa; Chordata; Mammalia; Carnivora; Canidae
Description: lncRNA (ENSVVUG00000007751.1)
Source: RNAcentral